This 424-nucleotide ribosomal RNA is filed under the name uncultured bacterium. RNAcentral's name for it is "bacterial SSU rRNA". It matches the Rfam family "Bacterial small subunit ribosomal RNA", at positions 355 to 772 of the family's 1533-position model. The record is from RNAcentral.
UGGGGAAUAUUGGACAAUGGGCGCAAGCCUGAUCCAGCCACGCCGCGUGAGUGACGAAGGCCUUCGGGUCGUAAAGCUCUGUGGGGAGGGACGAACCGCCAGUGGUUAAUACCCAUUGGCAUGACGGUACCUCCUUAGCAAGCACCGGCUAACUUCGUGCCAGCAGCCGCAGUAAUACGAAGGGUGCAAACGUUGCUCGGAAUCAUUGGGCGUAAAGCGCACGUAGGCGGCUUCGCAAGUCGGAUGUGAAAUCCCUCGGCUCAACCGAGGACGUGCAUCCGAAACUGCGGAGCUUGAGUAUGGAAGAGGGUCGCGGAAUUCCCGGUGUAGAGGUGAAAUUCGUAGAUAUCGGGAGGAACACCAGUGGCGAAGGCGGCGACCUGGGCCAAUACUGACGCUGAGGUGCGAAAGCGUGGGGAGCAAA